AGAGUUUGAUCAUGGCUCAGGACGAACGCUGGCGGCGUGCUUAACACAUGCAAGUCGAACGAGGCGCUUGCGCCUAGUGGCGAACGGGUGAGUAACACGUGAGCAACCUGCCCUUGGCUCUGGGAUAGCCUCCGGAAACGGGGAUUAAUACCGGACAUGACCUUCUCCUGCAUGGGGGAGGGUGGAAAGUUUUUCGGCCAGGGAGGGGCUCGCGGCCUAUCAGCUUGUUGGGGGGGUAACGGCCCACCAAGGCGACGACGGGUAGCCGGCCUGAGAGGGCGACCGGCCACACUGGGACUGAGACACGGCCCAGACUCCUACGGGAGGCAGCAGUGGGGAAUAUUGCACAAUGGGGGAAACCCUGAUGCAGCGACGCCGCGUGCGGGAUGAAGGCCUUCGGGUUGUAAACCGCUUUCAGCAGGGGCGAAUUCAGACGGUACCUGCAGAAGAAGCGCCGGCUAACUACGUGCCAGCAGCCGCGGUAAUACGUAGGGCGCGAGCGUUGUCCGGAAUUAUUGGGCGUAAAGAGCUCGUAGGCGGCCUGUUGCGUCCGCUGUGAAAUCCCAGGGCUUAACCCUGGGCCUGCAGUGGAUACGGGCAGGCUAGAGGCAGGCAGGGGAGAACGGAAUUCCCGGUGUAGCGGUGAAAUGCGCAGAUAUCGGGAGGAACACCGGUGGCGAAGGCGGUUCUCUGGGCCUGUUCUGACGCUGAGGAGCGAAAGCGUGGGGAGCAAACAGGAUUAGAUACCCCCGUAGUCC
RNAcentral lists this ribosomal RNA (758 nucleotides) under uncultured bacterium. RNAcentral's name for it is "bacterial SSU rRNA". It matches the Rfam family "Bacterial small subunit ribosomal RNA", at positions 8 to 796 of the family's 1533-position model. The record is from RNAcentral.